RNAcentral lists this ribosomal RNA (817 nucleotides) under uncultured bacterium. RNAcentral's name for it is "bacterial SSU rRNA". It matches the Rfam family "Bacterial small subunit ribosomal RNA", at positions 29 to 806 of the family's 1533-position model. The record is from RNAcentral.
ACGAACGCUGGCGGCGUGCCUAAUACAUGCAAGACGAACGCACUCUCGUUUAGAUUGAAGGAGCUUGCUCCUGAUUGAUAAACAUUUGAGUGAGUGGCGGACGGGUGAGUAACACGUGGGUAACCUGCCCUAAAGUGGGGGAUAACAUUUGGAAACAGAUGCUAAUACCGCAUAAAACCUAACACCGCAUGGUGUAGGGUUGAAAGAUGGUUUCGGCUAUCACUUUAGGAUGGACCCGCGGUGCAUUAGUUAGUUGGUGAGGUAAAGGCUCACCAAGACCGUGAUGCAUAGCCGACCUGAGAGGGUAAUCGGCCACACUGGGACUGAGACACGGCCCAGACUCCUACGGGAGGCAGCAGUAGGGAAUCUUCCACAAUGGGCGAAAGUCUGAUGGAGCAACGCCGCGUGAGUGAAGAAGGUUUUCGGAUCGUAAAACUCUGUUGUUGGAGAAGAAUGUAUCUGAUAGUAACUGAUCAGGUAGUGACGGUAUCCAACCAGAAAGCCACGGCUAACUACGUGCCAGCAGCCGCGGUAAUACGUAGGUGGCAAGCGUUGUCCGGAUUUAUUGGGCGUAAAGCGAGCGCAGGCGGUUUCUUAAGUCUGAUGUGAAAGCCUUCGGCUCAACCGAAGAAGUGCAUCGGAAACUGGGAAACUUGAGUGCAGAAGAGGACAGUGGAACUCCAUGUGUAGCGGUGAAAUGCGUAGAUAUAUGGAAGAACACCAGUGGCGAAGGCGGCUGUCUGGUCUGUAACUGACGCUGAGGCUCGAAAGCAUGGGAGCAAACAGAAUUAGAUACCCUGGUAGUCCACGCCGUAAA